Molecule: RNA transcript, 2490 nt
Organism: Theobroma cacao (cacao)
Lineage: Eukaryota; Viridiplantae; Streptophyta; Magnoliopsida; Malvales; Malvaceae
Gene: TCP8
Gene name: TCP family transcription factor
Source: RefSeq, a predicted model, not a curated record
GGUAUGUUUUUGUUGUAAAACAAAGGGCCGAUUUUUAACAUUCCUUUUACGAGACCCCACGAGUGGACUUUGGCUAACUUUUUUUCGCCCCCCCCUUCUUCACCUAGGUCCCCCACCUGCUUCUAUCCAAAGCCAGCCUCUUAGCCUGCGCACCUCUCUCUCUCUCUCAGCUCAGGCGAAGACAACAGUCAAUCAGAAAGCAAAAGAACCCCACAAACUCUUAGUCCUACUUAGGUCCAGACCACUCUGCAAAAAAAAUUUAACUCUCGUUCUCUCUAUAUCUAUCUUCUCUCUUUCUCUCUCUUUCUUUCUGUUGAGAAAACAAAGAUGACUUAGAGAGAAGAAGAACAAAGAGAAAAGAUAAGGUUGAUGAUGGAUCGACUUUGAAACCAAAAAACAAAAAACAUUUUAGUAUAAAAAUUAAAAUCCAAGCCCCUUUGAAAAACCCGGAAGAAUUACCCCACCAAAUGGAACUUACAGAUUUGCAAAGCAACAAGCAAAGCAACAACAGCAACAGCAACAACAACAACAGUAGCAACAAUUCUACAGAACCCCAUCAUCAGUCUCUCCACCACCACCUUCAUCAUCACCACCACCACCACCUCCAACAUCAAAAGCAGUCCCCUUCUCCUCAACUUGUGGUCCCUUUUGAUGGCACCAGAUCUUCGGGUCCUUCCGCAGGCAACCCUUUUAAUAUGGGCUCCAUCUCUCACCCCCACCACCACCAUCAUCUGCUUCUUCAUCCUGCUUCUUCAACAACUACGACAACCACAACGCCGCCUCUCUCCUCUUCUUCCUCCUCUUCUUCUUCAGCUACUACCACUACAACCAACCCGCCUCAACUCGUUGACGCCUCUCUCGCUAUUGCCACCAGAUCUACUUCUGUCAACGUCGAUUCCACAAAGAAGAAUCAGCCAAACUUGCCACUUUCAUCUACGACAACGACGACGACGACGACCGUAGCUAACCCUCCAGUGAAACGCUCCACCAAGGACCGCCACACGAAAGUCGAUGGUCGAGGCCGCCGAAUCAGAAUGCCAGCUACUUGUGCGGCUAGGGUUUUUCAAUUGACAAGAGAAUUAGGUCACAAAUCUGAUGGGGAAACAAUUGAAUGGCUUUUACAACAAGCAGAACCAGCAAUAAUAGCAGCCACAGGAACUGGUACUAUACCAGCCAAUUUUUCAACUCUUAAUGUUUCGUUAAGAAGUAGCGGAUCCACGCUUUCAGCUCCACCUUCAAAAUCUGCUCCUCACUCGUUCCAUGGUGCUUUAGCUUUGGCUUCUCAUCAUCAUCAUCACCCUUAUGAAGAAGGGUUUGCUCAUAGCGCUUUGUUGGGUUUUCACCAUCAGCAGCAGCAACAGCAACAACAGCAGCAUCUUUUAACAGCAGAUCAAAUAGCUGAAGCUUUACCUGGAGCUGCUGGUGGAGAUAGUGGAAAUUCAAGUGAGAAUUAUAUGAGGAAACGGUUUAGAGAGGACUUGUUUAAGGAUGACAAUCAGCAACAAGGUGAAAGUGGUAGUGGCGGCGGAGGUGGAAGCGGAGACGGAUCCCCUAUUAAGGUUUUUAAAAGUGGUUUAAGCCAAUUGCCUAAACCACAACAAGAUGCUGGAUCUUCGGGCCUACUUCGACCAUCAAAUAUUCUGCCCGCCACUGCCAUGUGGGCAGUGGCACCGGCUCCUAGCAGUGGAGCAGGCAGUACAUUUUGGAUGCUGCCCGUGACUGCUGGUGCCGGUGGCCCGUCAGUGGCCACGGGUGCAUCCGGGGCUGGUCCAUCUGAGCCCCAGAUGUGGCCUUUUGGAACACCAGGUCCCGCAAGUGGGAAUACAUUACAAGCACCCUUGCAUUUUGUGCCAAGAUUUAAUCUUCCGGGUAGUGUUGAAUUCCAAGGUGGUAGGCCGAGUCCUUUGCAAUUGGGUUCGAUGUUAAUGCAGCAACAGCCUUCUCAGCACCUUGGCUUAGGAAUGUCUGAGUCUAAUUUGGGCAUGUUGGCUGCUCUUAAUGCCUAUUCUAGAGGUGGUUCGAACAUUAAUUCGGAGCAAAAUAAUCCACUGGAACACCAUCAACACCAGCCUCAAGGUACAGAUAGUGGAGAUGAAGACCCCAAUAAUUCUCAAUGAUGGAUUCCGAGAAUUAAAUGUACAAGAGUUGGUUAGUAGGCUUUUAAUUCACAUAUUUGACAGAUGUGGAAAACAGGAAGUUUGUGAUGAGCUGAGUGCAUGAACUUUGUUAGUGGAUUUGUCAUCUGGGGAGAUAAAAGAAAGGUUCUGAUUAGGUCCCAUUUGUUAGCUUUGUUUGUCCUUUUGAUUUUAAAUUUUUUUCCCAAUUUUUCUUGGCUAGAGUUGAUCGAUUUGGAGAAGUUUGAGAGUUUGUAAUUUCAGUUGUGGUCCGAAGGGGACCUGAUAGGGAACAGGAAUGAGAGAGAGAGAGAGAGAGAGUUGCUUGUAUAGGAGGAUAUUUGUUUGUGUUUGAUUACUGUGUUUAUUACUAUUA